AUGGCAUUGUGGAAGUUAUGCAUUCCUAAAAGCGAAGGGGGAAUGGGUUUCAGAGACUUAUAUUCCUUCAACUUAGCCAUGCUUGCAAAGCAAUGUUGGAGGCUAAUUACUGACCCAACAUCUCUAUGUGCAAGGGUGUUAAAAGCGAAAUACUAUCCUAAUGGGAGCCUUCUGGAAGCUACCCCAAAGAGUGCAUCAUCAUUUACGUGGCAGGGUAUACUCAAGGGGUUGGAAACUUUCAAAAAAGGUUACAUAUGGAGGGUUGGAACGGGAGAGAAUAUUAGGAUAUGGAGUGACCCAUCGAUUCCAUCAAGUCCUGGAAUGAAGAUUAUAACCCCUAGAGGACAAAAUAUCUUGACUAGGGUGAGUGAAUUGAUUGACCUUGAGCAUGGAACAUGGGACGAGGAUAUGAUACGUUCGGUAUUCAAUCAUGUAGAUGCAAGACGAAUCCUUCAAAUACCACUGAAUAUCAACUUUUGA
This 480-nucleotide ribosomal RNA is filed under the name Triticum aestivum (bread wheat). RNAcentral describes it as "partial small subunit ribosomal RNA". Lineage: Eukaryota; Viridiplantae; Streptophyta; Magnoliopsida; Poales; Poaceae. The record is from RNAcentral.